This 431-nucleotide ribosomal RNA is filed under the name uncultured bacterium. Its description in RNAcentral is "partial 16S ribosomal RNA". It matches the Rfam family "Bacterial small subunit ribosomal RNA", at positions 29 to 507 of the family's 1533-position model. The record is from RNAcentral.
AGCGAACGCUGGCGGCAAGCUUAACACAUGCAAGUCGAGCGCCCCGCAAGGGGAGCGGCAGACGGGAGAGUAACACGUGGGAACAUACCUUUUGGUUCGGAACAACUGAGGGAAACUUCAGCUAAUACCGGAUAAGCCCUUACGGGGAAAGAUUUAUCGCCGAAAGAUUGGCCCGCGUCUGAUUAGCUAGUUGGUGAGGUAACGGCUCACCAAGGCGACGAUCAGUAGCUGGUCUGAGAGGAUGAUCAGCCUCACUGGGACUGAGACACGGCCCAGACUCCUACGGGAGGCAGCAGUGGGGAAUAUUGGACAAUGGGGGCAACCCUGAUCCAGCCAUGCCGCGUGAGUGAUGAAGGCCUUAGGGUUGUAAAGCUCUUUUGCCCGGGAAGAUAAUGACGGUACCGGGAGAAUAAGCCCCGGCUAACUUCGUG